Desarmillaria tabescens is the source of this 97-nucleotide non-coding RNA. Lineage: Eukaryota; Fungi; Basidiomycota; Agaricomycetes; Agaricales; Physalacriaceae. The record is from the annotation of a RefSeq genome assembly.
ACGCCGAUGGUGAAACGGUUAUCAUGCUUGUCUUCCAUGUGGGAUCCCGGAUUAUGUACUUGAGCAAGUGGUAAGGGUUCGACUCCCUUUCAGCGUA